UUUCAUGAUCAAAAAGGGAUAUACGAAAUUUUAGAAAUAGUUUGACUUUCAUUUUAUAUUUAGAAUAACAAAAUAUAAAAUCAUUGAGAGACAAACGACAAAAAGUCCUUUUUUUCAUUUUCUGAGACCGGAAGUGGUCAUCAGCACGUGUGGAGCCAAACGACAACAAGAUUCUCAGAGGGCGGAGCCAGAGAGCAGUGGUUGGUCAGACCAUAGAUAAUAUAGAAGACAGCGCGCUAGCGGAUCUAGUCUUCUAUAUAUAGGUAUUGUGGGCACGUCUGGUAGCAUCUCUGGCUGCUGUUGACCUUGUUUUUGGAGUAAAACACGGUAAGAAGAUAAAUACUUCUAACCAGCAGCCUUGUUUUGCUGUACGUUAAGUCAGCGACUUGUGAAGAGUUGUGUUUUGUUGUGUUUCACCAGUUGGUCCGGACGCGUUAGCUAGCUAAGCGGCUAAGUUAGCUAGCGGGCUAAUUAACACAGGUGGCUAACUUACCGCUGAACACCUGUUAGUUGCUGCUGCCCGUCAUUAUUAGAAUAACCUUCUCAACCUGUAUUUCUCUGCUGUGUAUUUUAGCUUUUAAAAAAGUUAUUUUUACUUUAAGGUUAACUGAAACCCGUUGAGCUGCACUGAAGUUUAACAUUCAGCUGGUUUCAAUUAAACUGCGCUUAACUUAACAUUGCGCAACAUUACCUCUCUGAAUCUCCAUAAUUUCAUUAAAUUCCUUCUCUUUUCCACUGCUCAAGUUCAAUCCAGUAUAUAAAAUGACAUUAAUAGUGAAUAAACUAACAACCAGCCAUUGUAUUUAUUUAUUAUUGCAUGUAUUUGUAGUAAAACAUGAGUUGAAACAUUCUACUUUUGGAUCUAGAACUGCACAAGCCGUUCAUUUUCAGUCACCAGAUGAGUUAAACUCCCAUUUUUAUGUGAGGUUGAAGCAGAAAGUCUGAGUUAACAAAGAAAGUUGUCUAUAAUUUGCGAUACCUGUUAUCUUUGACUGAGGCUUUAGUUUUUGUUGAGCUGAUUUACACGUAGAAACUUUGUUCAGGAAGAAUAGAUAUUUUUGAGGCUGUGAGGUUGAACGUUUGAGAGUAUAUCAGUGUGUUUGUUUGUGGUCUUUCUGUUUCUAGGUGGAAGCUGAAUUAGUGAGGAUGACUCCUGCUCCUGUCAUCUCUAAGCUCCUCACACAUCUUUACCUGCACAUAAGGAAAAUCACUCCUGUAGAAUGCAGUGGUUCAUCAGAACCUCUGGGGAUGUCCUGUGGAUUCUGUGGAUCCUGUGGGUUGCAGGGUGGAUCCUACCUAGACCAGGCUGAUCCUGGACCAUCCCACAGAUGCUCAAUCAGAUCUGGAUGUGGGGAGUGUGGAACCCAGAUGUUCAGAGGGAGAUGAUGCCACAUCUGGUCCAGCUGAUGGAAGGUCUUGAAGUUCUCUGACUGGCCUCGACUGAAGAUGGUCGUCUCACUGGAUUUAAGGUUCAGAUGCUCAGUAACAAACUCCACCAAUGAGCCAACAGGGAAGCUUUAGGUUUAUUAAAAGUUGCUAUGAAGGUUUCGCCGUUUUUCUUUGUGAAUGCAAUGUGCUCCAACUGAAACUUGAAUUACAACUUAGAAGUAAAUCCUUCCAUCUGAAAGGAUUUAGUUGCAUUAAUAACCUCAUAACAUUCUAAUUUUUAUUCCAGUCUUGGUUGAAAAUAGAAUCUCUGUAUUGAUUCAGGUAAAAACUGAACUUCACAGCAUGUUGGAGCAAAACAACCAGAUGAAAACUGUGAUGGUGUUGGAUUGUCAGACCGUAAUGUUGCAGCUCAAAGCAGCUUUUCUAGCUCAGUUCAUUCUGACAUUCAGCUAUGAAUCAACACAGCAGAUGGUGAUCCAUGCUGUGGAAGUCUCACAUCUCCUGAUUUAAUGGAGCUGCUUUGCACUUUUUACAUUGUUUAUUCACCAACACUUUAUUUAAUAAAAGUCCCAUCUAGUUUUUAUGAGGAAUGUGAUGUUUUAAUUUCUCUGUGAAUAACUGCAGUCUAAUGCAACAGCUGGAGUUGUAACAUCUGUCCUGAUAUUGAUCAUGAAGUAUUGAUCAGAAUACUUAUGGUUAGCAGUCAUCCCUGAAGUUUACUUGUGUUGUGAACUUUGGUAAGAAGCAGAAACGUUAGCGUUGCCAUGGAUACAUGAGUGUUAAAUUCUAUCCAUGUUUCCAUUUUGGGAAAUGCAGUCCAGUUCCAGAAUGUGGAGGAAUUUAGUCUCACAAUCACAGACAACAAAUAUUAUCUGAAAGUCAGGUUAUUGUUGUUUAUCAGCACAAUACAAAAAGAUUAAUGUUAGAAAUAUUCCAGUUAAGACUCUAGAAUAUCAUGAUUUAUGUAAAUUUACCUCGAUAAUAUGAAUGUUCAGGUUAAUAUUGUGCAGUGAUGUUUAUUGUGUGAGAUUAGCUGAUUAAAGUUUAUUAUUUAUUAUUUAGAUUUACAUCAUUAUUAUAAUAUUUAGGGUCAGACCCUACAGUAUUGAGAUUAAGAAAUCAAAUAUUCUAUAAAAUUUAAAUACACUGAAUUCAUUUGGAUAUUUUUAAGUGAGACUCUACAAUAUUAUUUGACACAAAUCUAUCUAAAUCUAAAUUGUAAUCAUUUUUACUCCUAACAUUUACUGGACUGAUUUAAAUAUUAAAAUCACUCCUUUCCAAUCCUCUGCUGUACGGUCAAACCUGAGGCCUUAAAUAGAAACACACAAGUAUCUGAUUGAAGGAACUUCUGCAGAGUCCUGGUUCCAGAACAUGAUGAUAGAAUUAUAGACAAACUUUAACAAAAGCUGCCUGAGAGUUUACAGGUUUUUAUGUUGGAUUUCUUCAGUAAUUUAAUGAGAGUUACCAGCAAUAAUCAAGUGUUCAUUUGAUGAACUUCAUUUCCUAAAACAUCCAGAAUUGGAGCUCAUGUCUUUGGCAGCUGUAAAGUUUCUGCUCCUUCAAAGUUCACAACACAAUGAAUGAAUUCCUAAAACACUCUCAAUGCUGGAGAGCGUUUGUGAUGCUGAAGCAGUGACCAGUUUUUCUGUUUCUUCUCUGGAGAUGCACAAUGAGGGACGUCUGCAGAGACUGAGAAAGAGUCUCACCACAUCCUGACAUGAGGAAAAAGACUUUAUUGAAGACUACAAUGAGGAAAACUAUCAGACAGCAGACGGCUGCAUUCAAGGUGAACUCUGAACAUUUGAUCUGGAACAGGAAUUCAAUAACGGCAGCAUGAGCUUCAUUUCAGUCUGUAGCUGCUGAAUUCAUGGAUGAAUCAUCUGGCACUAGAGAAGAAGACCAUCAAACAUCCACGUCAGCUGAUGGAGGUCCAAGAGUCUCACUGAACAACCAACCUACAGAGUGAAGACCUCAAAUCUGAUUGGACGGCCUCCUAUUCAGCCACAUGUGUGAACAAAUGCCUCUAAGUUGAUUUGUUUUCUAAAAUAAAUCUAGUUUGAGUCCUAA
Amphiprion ocellaris (clown anemonefish) is the source of this 3456-nucleotide long non-coding RNA. RefSeq lists it as uncharacterized. Lineage: Eukaryota; Metazoa; Chordata; Actinopteri; Pomacentridae. The record is from RefSeq and is a predicted model, not a curated record. The transcript is spliced from 3 exons.